GAUGAACGCUGGCGGCGUGCCUAAUACAUGCAAGUCGAGCGAACAGAUGAGGAGCUUGCUCCUCUGACGUUAGCGGCGGACGGGUGAGUAACACGUGGAUAACCUACCUAUAAGACUGGGAUAACUUCGGGAAACCGGAGCUAAUACCGGAUAAUAUAUUGAACCGCAUGGUUCAAUAGUGAAAGACGGUUUUGCUGUCACUUAUAGAUGGAUCCGCGCCGCAUUAGCUAGUUGGUAAGGUAACGGCUUACCAAGGCAACGAUGCGUAGCCGACCUGAGAGGGUGAUCGGCCACACUGGAACUGAGACACGGUCCAGACUCCUACGGGAGGCAGCAGUAGGGAAUCUUCCGCAAUGGGCGAAAGCCUGACGGAGCAACGCCGCGUGAGUGAUGAAGGUCUUAGGAUCGUAAAACUCUGUUAUUAGGGAAGAACAAAUGUGUAAGUAACUAUGCACGUCUUGACGGUACCUAAUCAGAAAGCCACGGCUAACUACGUG
RNAcentral lists this ribosomal RNA (497 nucleotides) under uncultured bacterium. Its description in RNAcentral is "partial 16S ribosomal RNA". It matches the Rfam family "Bacterial small subunit ribosomal RNA", at positions 28 to 507 of the family's 1533-position model. The record is from RNAcentral.